RNAcentral lists this small nuclear RNA (105 nucleotides) under Catagonus wagneri (Chacoan peccary). Lineage: Eukaryota; Metazoa; Chordata; Mammalia; Artiodactyla; Tayassuidae. The record is from RNAcentral.
AUGCUCACUUUGACAGCACAUACACUAAAAUUGGAAGAAUACAGAGAGAUCAGCAUGGUCCCUGCACAAGGAUGACAUGCAAAUUCAGAAGCAUUCAGCAUUUUU